AUCCUUAACUCUGAGUUGAUCUACUCUGAGUUAGGAAACUCUGAGUUUCCGGUUUCACAACACCUGAUUUGAGACGGUUUUAACAACUCCGAGUAGUUUGACCUGGAGUUAAGCACGUGCACGCCAGACAUAAACAGCCAGCAUCUGUGGAGCGCAGAUUUAAUGAUCAACCAAUGGAAAUAGGGAGAAGGAGGGGGCAGCAGCAAGCCAACAGCGAAUUACAGCACGUUUGUAAAAGGAAGUGCAAUACAGCAGCAGCUGCAAAGGAGAGGGAUCGGACCGGCCGCGAUCGUCGAACGGGGGGGUGGAGGGCAGCUCCUCUGCCUCCGUUAAAGGUGGGGCUGCUGGACUACCACCCGUUUUUUGUGUUAGUUUAAUAUUUCUAAUCAUUUAACGGAACAUCACAAGAGAGUAAAAUUCAGUUUUGAGUGUGAAAAGAGCAUUUUUUAAGGGAUCAAACUGCCACCUAAUACUUACUUGACAAUAUAAACCUUGAUCAAAAUGAUAAAAUGCCGAUGUUUCACCUGAAACUCUGGGUUUACUGAGUUAAACCUGCUCCCGAGCAGGUUAGGUUCACGGAGUCUGUUACUGUGGUAACUGACCGCGAGGUUGAGUUACCUCUCUUUGUGAAACAGGUUAGAGUUACCCCUCUCUCCCUGGUUUAACUAACCCUCCUUUGUGAAACGGAAAACUCAGAGUUUCCCUGUUUUCAGGGUUAACAAACUCGGAGUUUCCACUAAACCUGCUACGUGAAACGGACCCCUGAUCUCAACCCUCCACAGGUCAGGUAAUAACUUUAGAGCUGCAGCGUCCUCUGGUGGUGACCACAGAGAACAACAGUCCCUUCUCACUGCUCUCCUCAAAUAAACUUGACAGUAAUAUGCAGGGUAUUUUGUAUAAAUCAUGUAUUGCUCUAUAUUUGAAGACAACUAUUGCUUAUAUUAUGAUUAUGAUGAAGAUGAUUAUUACUCGACACUGAGCACCAACUGUAACUGAAGAUGAGUGUGUGUGUGUGUGUGUGUGUGUGUGUGUGUGUGUGUGUGUGUGUGUGUGUGUGAGGGAGAAGAAAGUUAUAUAAAUAAACACUUUGUCACUCCACA
This is a non-coding RNA of Xyrichtys novacula (pearly razorfish), 1100 nucleotides long. The record is from the annotation of a GenBank genome assembly. NCBI's taxonomy places the organism in Eukaryota, Metazoa, Chordata, Actinopteri, Labriformes, Labridae.